RNAcentral lists this ribosomal RNA (790 nucleotides) under uncultured bacterium. RNAcentral's name for it is "bacterial SSU rRNA". It matches the Rfam family "Bacterial small subunit ribosomal RNA", at positions 94 to 863 of the family's 1533-position model. The record is from RNAcentral.
AGUGGCGAAAGGGUGCGUAACACGUGGGUAAUUUGCCGUAAGGUUCGGGAUAACCUGCCGAAAGGUAGGCUAAUACCGAAUGUGACUUUCGAGGGGCAUCCCUUGAAAUUCAAAGUUGGGGACCGAAAGGCCUGACGCUUUACGAUAAGCCCGCGGCCUAUCAGCUUGUUGGUGAGGUAAUGGCUCACCAAGGCUUAGACGGGUAGCUGGUCUGAGAGGACGAUCAGCCACACUGGAACUGAGACACGGUCCAGACACCUACGGGUGGCAGCAGUCGAGAAUCUUUCACAAUGGGCGAAAGCCUGAUGGAGCGACGCCGCGUGGGGGAUGACGGGCUUCGGUCUGUAAACCCCUGUCAUCUGUGAACAAACCUCUUUGUUGAAUAGGCAAAGAGCUGAUAGUAGCAGAAGAGGAAGGGACGGCUAACUCUGUGCCAGCAGCCGCGGUAAUACAGAGGUCCCAAGCGUUGUUCGGAUUCACUGGGCGUAAAGGGUGCGUAGGUGGCAAGGUAAGUUCGGUGUGAAAUCUCCGGGCUCAACCCGGAAACUGCAUUGAAAACUAUCUUGCUCGAGGGUCGGAAGGGAGACUGGAAUUCUCGGUGUAGCAGUGAAAUGCGUAGAUAUCGAGAGGAACACCAGUGGCGAAGGCGAGUCUCUGGACGACACCUGACACUGAGGCACGAAAGCUAGGGGAGCAAACAGGAUUAGAUACCCUGGUAGUCCUAGCCGUAAACGGUGCACACUUGCUGUGAGAGGAUUCGACCCCUUUCGUGGCGAAGCUAACGCGUUAA